RNAcentral lists this ribosomal RNA (918 nucleotides) under Acinetobacter sp. 18_SBR2. RNAcentral's name for it is "bacterial SSU rRNA". It matches the Rfam family "Bacterial small subunit ribosomal RNA", at positions 52 to 964 of the family's 1533-position model. The record is from RNAcentral. Lineage: Bacteria; Pseudomonadati; Pseudomonadota; Gammaproteobacteria; Moraxellales; Moraxellaceae.
CACAUGCAGUCGAGCGGAGAGAGGUAGCUUGCUACUGAUCUUAGCGGCGGACGGGUGAGUAAUACUUAGGAAUCUGCCUAUUAGUGGGGGACAACAUCUCGAAAGGGAUGCUAAUACCGCAUACGUCCUACGGGAGAAAGCAGGGGAUCUUUAUGACCUUGCGCUAAUAGAUGAGCCUAAGUCGGAUUAGCUAGUUGGUGGGGUAAAGGCCUACCAAGGCGACGAUCUGUAGCGGGUCUGAGAGGAUGAUCCGCCACACUGGGACUGAGACACGGCCCAGACUCCUACGGGAGGCAGCAGUGGGGAAUAUUGGACAAUGGGGGGAACCCUGAUCCAGCCAUGCCGCGUGUGUGAAGAAGGCCUUAUGGUUGUAAAGCACUUUAAGCGAGGAGGAGGCUUACCUGGUUAAUACCCAGGAUAAGUGGACGUUACUCGCAGAAUAAGCACCGGCUAACUCUGUGCCAGCAGCCGCGGUAAUACAGAGGGUGCAAGCGUUAAUCGGAUUUACUGGGCGUAAAGCGCGCGUAGGCGGCCAAUUAAGUCAAAUGUGAAAUCCCCGAGCUUAACUUGGGAAUUGCAUUCGAUACUGUUUGGCUAGAGUGUGGGAGAGGAUGGUAGAAUUCCAGGUGUAGCGGUGAAAUGCGUAGAGAUCUGGAGGAAUACCGAUGGCGAAGGCAGCCAUCUGGCCUAACACUGACGCUGAGGUGCGAAAGCAUGGGGAGCAAACAGGAUUAGAUACCCUGGUAGUCCAUGCCGUAAACGAUGUCUACUAGCCGUUGGGGCCUUUGAGGCUUUAGUGGCGCAGCUAACGCGAUAAGUAGACCGCCUGGGGAGUACGGUCGCAAGACUAAAACUCAAAUGAAUUGACGGGGGCCCGCACAAGCGGUGGAGCAUGUGGUUUAAUUCGAUGCAACGCGA